Molecule: ribosomal RNA, 253 nt
Filed under: uncultured bacterium
Lineage: Bacteria
Description: partial 16S ribosomal RNA
Rfam family: Bacterial small subunit ribosomal RNA
Source: RNAcentral
UACAGAGGUCCCAAGCGUUGUUCGGAUUCAUUGGGCGUAAAGGGUGCGUAGGCGGUGGGGUAAGUUGGAUGUGAAAUCUUGGGGCUUAACCUCAAAAUUGCAUUCAAUACUGCUCCGCUCGAGUUCUGUAGAGGAGAUUGGAAUUUACGGUGUAGCAGUGAAAUGCGCAGAUAUCGGGAGGAACACCAAUGGCGAAGGCAGCUCGCUGGGACGGUACUGACGCUGAGACGCGAAAGCGUGGGGAGCAAACAGG